GAGAAGCCGCAUGAGGGAUAAUAGUGGAAAUCCUUCUGUUUUUUUUCUAAACAGAAGAUCAAAACGAAUAGCCCGACCCGCU
This is a non-coding RNA of Flavobacterium sp. ov086, 82 nucleotides long. NCBI's taxonomy places the organism in Bacteria, Pseudomonadati, Bacteroidota, Flavobacteriia, Flavobacteriales, Flavobacteriaceae. The record is from Rfam.